This is a non-coding RNA of Tenacibaculum dicentrarchi, 87 nucleotides long. The record is from Rfam. Lineage: Bacteria; Pseudomonadati; Bacteroidota; Flavobacteriia; Flavobacteriales; Flavobacteriaceae.
GCCUAGCCCCGAUUGAAGCAAUUGUUUGAGCUCCUUUUUUUGAUUUUUUCUUCAAAAAAAGAGCGAGUGCGGAAAGCGGGAAAUUGC